This 262-nucleotide long non-coding RNA is filed under the name Numida meleagris (helmeted guineafowl). Its description in RNAcentral is "lncRNA (ENSNMEG00000021903.1)". Lineage: Eukaryota; Metazoa; Chordata; Aves; Galliformes; Numididae. The record is from RNAcentral.
AUUUUUCCCCAAUCUGAAGUUCUGCCAGCUGCAGCAUCUAAUCAUCCCUGGCUGUGCCUGUUAAGUAUUUAAAGGCAUUUCUGAUGCUAGCUGCAUCUGCCCAUAGUACCAGCAACAUGCACUGCCUCAACCAUGAUCACUAUACAGGCCCAGCCUGUCCUUGCAAGGAUGUUGGGUGGAUCAGGAUGUUGAGUGCCCACAGCUUUGAGUUGUGUCAAUAUGAAAUGAUGCUUUGUACUGUUCUCUGCUGUACCAAAUGCAG